GGGGUCAAUUGACCAUUUAGGUCAUGUGGACUUAUUUGUAGAUCUUACUUUGAUGAACAUUAUCGCUGUUUACAGUUUAUCGCUAUCUAUAAUAGUAUUCAAGAUAAUAACCAAAAACAGCAAAAUUUCUUUAAAAAUUACCAAUUGGAGGGCAGCAACCCAACAACCGGUUGUCCAAUUCAUUUGAAUAUUUCAGGGCAGAUAUAUAUUGACUUGAUUAACAAUUUAACUCCUUGUCAGAUUUCCUCUAAAUGAUUUGGUUUCAGAGUUGUAAGCAAAAAACUACAUUUUACCCCUGUUCUAUUUUUAGCCGUGGUGGCCAUCUUGGUUGGAUGGCCAGGUCAUCGGACACAUUUUUCAAACAAGGUACCUCAAAGAUGAUUGUGGCCAAGUUUGAAAUAAUUUGGCCCAGUAGUUUCAGAGGAGAAGAUUUUUGUAAAAGAUAACUAAGAUUUACGAAAAAUGGUUAAAAAUUGACUAUAAAGGGCAAUAACUCCUAAAGGGGUCAACUGACCAUUUCGGUCAUGUUGACUUAUUUGUAAAUCUUACUUUGAUGAACAUUAUUGCUGUUUACAGUUUAUCUCUAUCUAUAAUAAUAUUCAAGAUAAUAACCAAAAACGGCAAAAAUUUCCUCAAAAUUACCAAUUCAGGGGCAGCAAUCCAACAACAGGUUGACCGAUUCAUCUGAAAAUUUCAGGGCAGAUAGAUCUUGACCUGAUAAACAUUUUUACUCCGUCAGAUUUCCUCUAAAUGUUUUGCUUUUUGAGUUAUAAGCCAAAAACUGCAUUUUACCCCUAUGUUCUAUUUUUAGCCGUGGCGGCCAUCUUGGUUGGUUGACCGGAUCACGCCACACAUUGUUUUAAACUAGAUACCCCAAAGAUGAUUGUGGCCAACUUUGGAUUAAUUUGGCCCAUUAGUUUCAGAGGAGAAGAGUUUUGUAAAAGAUUACUUAGAUUUAUGAAAAAUGGUUAAAAAUUGACUAUAAAGGGCAAUAACUCCUUAAGGGGUCAACUGACCAUUUCGGUCAUGUUGACUUAUUUGUAAAUCUUAACUUUGCUGAACAUUAUUGCUGUUUACAGUUUAUCUCUAUCUAUAAUAAUAUUCAAGAUAAUAACCAAAAACGGCAAAAUUUCCUCAAAAUUACCAAUUCAGGGGCAGCAACCCAACAACAGGUUGACCGAUUCAUCUGAAAAUUUCAGGGCAGAUAGAUCUUGACCUGAUAAACAUUUUUACCCCCCCCCCCCCCCCCCAUCAGAUUUCCUCUAAAUGCUUUGGUUUUUGAGUUAUAAGCCAAAAACUGCAUUUUACCCCUAUGUUCUAUUUUUAGCCGUGGCGGCCAUCUUGGUUGGUUGACCGGGUCACGCCACACAUUUUUUAAACUAGAUACCCUAAAGAUGAUUGUGGCCAAGUUUGGAUUAAUUUGGCCCAGUAGUUUCAGAGGAGAAGAUUUUUGUAAAAGAUUACUUAGAUUUAUGAAAAAUGGUUAAAAAUUGACUAUAAAGGGCAAUAACUCCUAAAGGGGUCAACUGACCAUUUCGGUCAUGUUGACUUAUUUGUAAAUCUAACUUUGCCGAACAUUAUUGCUGUUUACAGUUUAUCUCUAUCUAUAAUAAUAUUCAAGAUAAUAACCAAAAACAGCAAAAUUUCCUCAAAAUGACCAAUUCAGAGGCAGCAACCCAACAACGGGUUGACCGAUUCAUCUGAAAAUUUCAGGGCAGAUAGAUCUUGACCUGAUAAACAUAUUUACCCCUGUCAGAUUUCCUCUAAAUGCUUUGGUUUUUGAGUUAUAAGCCAAAAACUGCAUUUUACCCCUAUGUUCUAUUUUUAGCCGUGGCGGCCAUCUUGGUUGGUUGACCGGGUCACGCCACACAUUUUUUAAACUAGAUACCCCAAUGAUGAUUGUGGCCAAGUUUGGUUCAAUUUGGCCCAGUAGUUUCAGAGGAGAAGAUUUUUGUAAAAGUUAACGACGACGGACGACGGACGACAGACGACGACGGACGACGGACGACGACGACGGACGCCGGACGCAAAGUGAUGGGAAUAGCUCACUUGGCCCUUCGGGCCAGGUGAGCUAAAAAUGUC
This 2082-nucleotide long non-coding RNA is filed under the name Mytilus galloprovincialis (Mediterranean mussel). Lineage: Eukaryota; Metazoa; Mollusca; Bivalvia; Mytilida; Mytilidae. The record is from RNAcentral.